Molecule: ribosomal RNA, 253 nt
Filed under: uncultured bacterium
Lineage: Bacteria
Description: partial 16S ribosomal RNA
Rfam family: Bacterial small subunit ribosomal RNA
Source: RNAcentral
UACGAAGGGGGCGAGCGUUGUUCGGAAUUACUGGGCGUAAAGGGCGCGCAGGCGGCUCUGAAAGUCAGAUGUGAAAGCCCCGGGCUUAACCUGGGAAUUGCAUUUGAUACUCUGGAGCUUGAGUACGGGAGAGGAGAGUGGAAUUCCCAGUGUAGAGGUGAAAUUCGUAGAUAUUGGGAAGAACACCGGUGGCGAAGGCGGCGACCUGGUCCGAUACUGACGCUGAGGCGCGAAAGCGUGGGGAGCAAACAGG